Long non-coding RNA from Melitaea cinxia (Glanville fritillary), 559 nucleotides. RefSeq lists it as uncharacterized. Lineage: Eukaryota; Metazoa; Arthropoda; Insecta; Lepidoptera; Nymphalidae. The record is from RefSeq and is a predicted model, not a curated record. The transcript has 3 exons.
AGAUAGGUUAGGGUUAAAUUACACUCCUCGAUUGUACAUAAUUACCCUAAAUUUGUUCCACUGUGAUCUUGUUUUUCAUCUUAUUGAUCAAUUUAUACAUAUUUAUUAACAACUUAAUUUUAUCCUAUAAUCAAAAUUAUAAAGCUAAUUAACGAAAGUUUAAUGUAUUAUGAACAAUAUUAUAUUAUGAAAAAUAAAUUAAUGAAUUAAGGUUGAGUGGCACGACGACGUUUAUAUAAGAGUGAAUACAAUCUGUUAUAUAUGAAGACAAUGUAGUGACGUGACGGGAUGAUUUUUAAGGGGAAUUAUUUACCAAGAUAAAAGUAGCAUACGAGUACGAAAUCAUAAUUAUACAGAAUUGAGCGAUGGUCCGCCUGCUGUUUUCUUGGAUCAUUACGUGGAUUCAGCGAUCAUGUAUUGGGUUGCAGGCCUUUGGGCUUGAUCAUCAUGGACGCCCGCUUCAGAGUGUAGUCCCAGCCUCGCCAGCGAAACCAUACGAUUCCUGUAGAGAGAAAUAAUGGCAAACGAAGAAAAACCGACUACAAUUAUAUUGACAAGU